ACUCAAAUGAAUUGACGGGGGCCUGCACAAGCGGUGGAGUAUGUGGCUUAAUUCGAUGCAACGCGAAGAACCUUACCUGGCCUUGACAUGCAUUUAGUAGAACCAUGAAAGUGGGACGAUCCCGCAAGGGAAGGAUGCACAGGUGCUGCAUGGCUGUCGUCAGCUCGUGUCGUGAGAUGUUGGGUUAAGUCCCGCAACGAGCGCAACCCUUGUGUCCUGUUGCCACCCCCUCGAGAGAGGGGAGCACUCUGGACAGACUGCCUCGCUUAAACGAGGAGGAAGGUGGGGAUGACGUCAAGUCAGUAUGGCCCUUACGGCCAGGGCUGCACACGUACUACAAUGCGCGGCACAGAAGGAAGCUAGACCGUCAGGUGGAGCAAAUCCCGAAAACCGCGCCCAGUUCAGAUUGUCGUCUGCAACUCGACGACAUGAAGCCGGAAUCGCUAGUAAUGGCGCAUCAGCUACGGCGCCGUGAAUACGUUCCCAGGCCUUGUACACACCGCCCGU
Molecule: ribosomal RNA, 507 nt
Filed under: uncultured bacterium
Lineage: Bacteria
Description: partial 16S ribosomal RNA
Rfam family: Bacterial small subunit ribosomal RNA
Source: RNAcentral